Molecule: ribosomal RNA, 635 nt
Filed under: uncultured bacterium
Lineage: Bacteria
Description: bacterial SSU rRNA
Rfam family: Bacterial small subunit ribosomal RNA
Source: RNAcentral
GGAGUAGCAAUACUCCCGCCGGCGACCGGCGCACGGGUGAGUAACACGUAUGAAACCUGCCCGUAGCAGGGGGGGAUAAGCGGAAGAAAUUCCGUCUAAUACCGCGUAACAACCCUUGGAGGCAUCUCCUCGGGUUUAAAGGAAGCGAUUCCGGCUACGGAUGGUCAUGCGUCGCAUUAGCUGGUUGGCGGGGUAACGGCCCACCAAGGCGACGAUGCGUAGGGGUUCUGAGAGGAAGGUCCCCCACACUGGUACUGAGACACGGACCAGACUCCUACGGGAGGCAGCAGUGAGGAAUAUUGGUCAAUGGCCGCAGGGCUGAACCAGCCAAGUCGCGUGAGGGAUGACGGUCCUAUGGAUUGUAAACCUCUUUUGUCAGGGAGCAAAGGGCGCCACGUGUGGCGCUUUGCGAGUACCUGAAGAAAAAGCAUCGGCUAACUCCGUGCCAGCAGCCGCGGUAAUACGGAGGAUGCGAGCGUUAUCCGGAUUUAUUGGGUUUAAAGGGUGCGCAGGCGGAAUGUCAAGUCAGCGGUAAAAUUUCGGGGCUCAACCCCGUCGUGCCGUUGAAACUGGCGUUCUUGAGUGAGCGAGAAGUAUGCGGAAUGCGUGGUGUAGCGGUGAAAUGCAUAGAUAUC